Molecule: ribosomal RNA, 459 nt
Filed under: uncultured bacterium
Lineage: Bacteria
Description: bacterial SSU rRNA
Rfam family: Bacterial small subunit ribosomal RNA
Source: RNAcentral
GUCACGAGUUUGAUCAUGGCUACAGAACGAACGCUGGCGGCAUGCCUAACACAUGCAAGUCGAACGAGACCUUCGGGUCUAGUGGCGCACGGGUGCGUAACACGUGGGAAUUUGCCUCGGGGUAUGGAAUAACUCAGGGAAACUUGAGCUAAUACCAUAUAAUGUCUUCGGACCAAAGAUUUAUCGCCCUGAGAUAAGCCCGCGUAGGAUUAGCUAGUUGGUGGGGUAAAGGCUCACCAAGGCGACGAUCCUUAGCUGGUCUGAGAGGAUGAUCAGCCACACUGGGACUGAGACACGGCCCAGACUCCUACGGGAGGCAGCAGUGGGGGAAUAUUGGACAAUGGGCGAAAGCCUGAUCCAGCAAUGCCGCGUGAGUGAUGAAGGCCUUCGGGUUGUAAAGCUCUUUUACUCGGGACGAUAAUGACGGUACCGAGAGAAUAAGCCCCGGCUAACUCCGUA